UACAGAGGUCCCAAGCGUUGUUCGGAUUCACUGGGCGUAAAGCGCUUUAAGGCGGUUCGGUAAGUCGGGUGUGAAACCUCCAGGCUCAACCUGGAGACGCCACUCGAUACUGCUGUGACUAGAGUUCGGUAGGGGAUCACGGAAUUCCUGGUGUAGCGGUGAAAUGCGCAGAUAUCAGGAGGAACACCGGUGGCGAAGGCGGUGAUCUGGGCCGACACUGACGCUGUAGAGCGAAAGCGUGGGGAGCGAACAGG
This 254-nucleotide ribosomal RNA is filed under the name uncultured bacterium. RNAcentral's name for it is "partial 16S ribosomal RNA". It matches the Rfam family "Bacterial small subunit ribosomal RNA", at positions 524 to 776 of the family's 1533-position model. The record is from RNAcentral.